GAUUAACGCUGGCGGCGUGCCUAACACAUGCAAGUCGAGCGGCAGCGAGUUUUACACUGACUUCUGGAAGCUUCUAGUUGAAAGAGAAGAUUUAUUCAAGAAUUUUGUGUAAAAUGUCGGCGAGCGGCGGACGGCUGAGUAACGCGUGGGAACGUACCCCAAAGUGAGGGAUAACGCAUCGAAAGGUGUGCUAAUACCGCAUAUGGUCUUCGGAUUAAAGCCUUCGGGCGCUUUGGGAACGGCCUGCGUAAGAUUAGAUAGUUGGUGGGGUAAUGGCCUACCAAGUCGACGAUCUUUAACUGGUUUGAGAGGAUGAUCAGUCAGACUGGAACUGAGACACGGUCCAGACUCCUACGGGAGGCAGCAGUGAGGAAUCUUCCACAAUGGGCGAAAGCCUGAUGGAGCAACGCCGCGUGCAGGAUGAAGGCCUUCGGGUUGUAAACUGCUUUUAUAAGUGAGGAUUAUGACAGUAACUGAUGAAUAAGGAUCGGCUAACUACGUG
Molecule: ribosomal RNA, 502 nt
Filed under: uncultured bacterium
Lineage: Bacteria
Description: partial 16S ribosomal RNA
Rfam family: Bacterial small subunit ribosomal RNA
Source: RNAcentral